This 461-nucleotide ribosomal RNA is filed under the name uncultured beta proteobacterium. Its description in RNAcentral is "bacterial SSU rRNA". It matches the Rfam family "Bacterial small subunit ribosomal RNA", at positions 198 to 639 of the family's 1533-position model. The record is from RNAcentral. Lineage: Bacteria; Pseudomonadati; Pseudomonadota; Betaproteobacteria.
GGAGGAAAGUAGGGGAUCGCAAGACCUUGCGCUCUUGGAGCGGCCGAUGUCUGAUUAGCUAGUUGGUGAGGUAAAGGCUUACCAAGGCGACGAUCAGUAGCUGGUCUGAGAGGACGACCAGCCACACUGGGACUGAGACACGGCCCAGACUCCUACGGGAGGCAGCAGUGGGGAAUUUUGGACAAUGGGGGAAACCCCGAUCCAGCCACGCCGCGUGAGUGAAGAAGGCCUUCGGGUUGUAAAGCUCUUUCAGCCGGAACGAAACGGUCACGGCUAAUAUCUGUGACUACUGACGGUACCGGAAGAAGAAGCACCGGCUAACUACGUGCCAGCAGCCGCGGUAAUACGUAGGGUGCAAGCGUUAAUCGGAAUUACUGGGCGUAAAGCGUGCGCAGGCGGUUUUGUAAGUCAGAUGUGAAAUCCCCGGGCUUAACCUGGGAACUGCGUUUGAAAAUCACUAG